Mesocricetus auratus (golden hamster) is the source of this 488-nucleotide long non-coding RNA. RefSeq lists it as uncharacterized. The transcript is spliced from 2 exons. Lineage: Eukaryota; Metazoa; Chordata; Mammalia; Rodentia; Cricetidae. The record is from RefSeq and is a predicted model, not a curated record.
UAUUUUGGCUACAGUUUUCAUGGCCUCCAUAUGAACCUCUUCUACUUGCUUCUCUGGCGGCUGGAAGUUUGUCUCAAGGUAAAGUGCUGAUUGCAGCACUCAGGAAACACCGCUCCAGGCCUCCUCUGGACCAAGCACCAUACACAGGCCUGGAACUCACACUCUUCGGCACCACACGUUUAGAACGGGAAAUGACUGGCCAGGGGUCUAACUGAAACCAAACAUCUACAGAUUGCCACUGAAUCAUGCCUUCUGACCCUACCAGCAGUUCCAAGGAAUUUUGUGGAAGGAAGGCCUGUUUUUUUGAGUGUCAUUCUCAAAAGAUCAGCAAUGUGUUUUAGAUUCUAAUGAUAAAUUCCUUCUAAUUUGCCAGACACAUUUUAUAUAACCCAUUGGAACUGAUUUCUGUAAUGCCCAGCUUUUCAGUUUUUGUCAAUGCAAAAAAAUCCUUCAGUUUAUAUAAUAAACAUCACUGUUGUGGAACAUUA